RNAcentral lists this long non-coding RNA (591 nucleotides) under Elaeis guineensis (African oil palm). RNAcentral's name for it is "long non-coding RNA (EGUI_LNC014805)". The record is from RNAcentral. Lineage: Eukaryota; Viridiplantae; Streptophyta; Magnoliopsida; Arecales; Arecaceae.
GAUUGUUGACCCUAUGAUUGAUUUUGAUGAUCAUAAAAUAUUGAAUAAUUAUGAAUCUAAUCAUGUAUUUUAAGAAGAAAUAUAGAUUUUUUUAGAUAACCAAAUUGAAGAAAUAAUUCAUGAAAAAGAUCUCUUCAAGAUUCACUAAUUCAAGGGUUUAAAAAGAAAAAAUUAAAUUUCAGACUUAGUGGAGUCGACUCUUGGUGAAGAACAGUCGACUCUGGCAUGUUGGAAGAAGAUUGGCAUGCAGACGAGUCGACUCGAAGAAGAUCCGAGCUGACUCAAUCUCAAAAGAUAGAGAAUAAUUUUUUAAGCUCUGUGGCUGAGUUGACUUAUGAGGAACUCGAGUCGACUUGUGGACAAAAGGGGUCGACUCCAAAGAAAAUCGAGUCAAUUUGAAGCACAGGACAGACUAUAAUGGCUAGUUUUCUACACUUCUCCAAUGGCUAGAUUUUGGCUCCAACAACUAGUUCAAGCCCUCCAAUUAUCCAAACUUAUUCUCCUGCCAUUGUCAAGUCUAUUUAAAGAUGGAGAAUUAUUUGGAAAGAAAGAAAAAAAGAUUGAGAAGAGAAAACAUUCAAAUUUGUGAGG